AGGCCCUUCCUGGUGACAAUGUUGGCUUCAACGUCAAGAACGUUGCUGUGAAGGAUCUCAAGCGUGGGUUUGUUGCAUCCAACUCCAAGGAUGACCCUGCCAAGGAGGCUGCCAACUUCACCUCCCAGGUCAUCAUCAUGAACCACCCUGGUCAGAUUGGCAACGGCUACGCCCCAGUGCUGGACUGCCACACCUCCCACAUUGCUGUGAAGUUUGCCGAGCUGGUGACCAAGAUCGACAGGCGAUCUGGUAAGGAGCUGGAGAAGGAGCCCAAGUUCUUGAAGAACGGUGAUGCUGGUAUCGUGAAGAUGAUUCCCACCAAGCCCAUGGUUGUGGAGACCUUCGCCAUGUACCCUCCUCUUGGUCGUUUUGCUGUGCGUGACAUGAGACAAACAGUUGCUGUUGGUGUCAUCAAGGGUGUGGAGAAGAAGGACCCAACCGGCGCCAAGGUCACCAAGGCGGCUGCCAAGAAGAAAUGAUUUGUUCUGUGUUGGGGAUUGAGAUGUCUGGCUGCAGUUUUAGUGUUUACUAAGUUUUGUCUAUGUGCAUUGCUCGUAUUGCUGAGACUCUUGAAACUAUGUAAGCAAUGUUCAUGUCUGUCGUUUAAAUACUGUAUUCCUAUUUCGGUUCGGUUAAAACCUGUGUGCUAUGAUGCUUGUGUCCUUUUAACUUCUCAGGGAUCUGAUUGCUUAGAUUGAACUUAGUUAACUCAUGUUCUGUUUCCUUGAUUUCUUCGCAAUUUGUUUUUGUUCUGCUAUUCCAUCUUUAUGUAGCAGCGUAGCCUGUAAUCAUGUGAUACGUUUAUGUCCUAAUUUUUCUUUUUUCACUGUUCUCCGUUUUUCUGAUUAGAGGUUGGUAGGUUUCUCCGCUUCUUUCGUCCGCAGCAGAUUUUCCACUUGUUGCCGCUGGCUUGAAGCUAGAGUACAUGGUAAUGUCAACCUAAAUUACUCUUGUUUUGUUCCACUGAAAUGUAACUCUACUUUCUUGGCUAUCUCGACGUUGGCCUCUUAAUCCGAGGAGAAGGGCACGUCUCCACAACUUAAUUGGAGACUCCUUUAACCGUUAUGCACUAAUUCUGCCAGGGGAGGAAGUUCCGGUCAUACCCCGGAAGUCCACCCUUGUUCCGGUUCAACCUCCGCCAAACACAAAUUAAUUCCAGUAGCAUCACGAAGGUAAGCCGGACGUAGGGUGGAAGUUCUGCCCUCCUGGAGGUAGGCCGGAAGUUCCGGGCCUGGAACAUGCUCCCUCUCGCAAGCGACCUGCUCAUCAAGGACUAAGAUUUGAAUCACACUUCAAUUUCCAAUCCGACAAUUCCAAGGAAGCCGGUUGUUCGCAUGAUAUCAAGAAGGAGCCAAGCAACUACCCGAUAAUCCAAACGUCUCAGGACCUAAUGAACACGGAGAACAUGAUCAUUGAAUUUACUUCUAAUGAUAUGUUUGGAGACCUAAACUAUUUCACCUACCUCCGAAAUAGAUAUCAUCAUAUUUACGUUCCUAAGUAUUGUUGUAAAUAAAUUAUAGUGACCGUUGUCAUCUAUAUUGUAAUAUUAAAUUAUUGUAUCAGCACUUUGGUACCCACAUAUUUGACAUAUGUAUUGUAAAUUAUGAUGUUGUAUUAUCAAUUUAAUACAUAAAUAAAUUUGUAUGUAUUCUAUAUAUCCAUUAAAAUUUAUAUUAAAUUCUUCCUUUUUUCCAUAUAUAGUUUUCUACGGGAGUCAAUCCAAAAUGGCCGAAGAACUUUGUCUUGUGGAAAGCGCUACCACAAACACUAUACUUAGGGAAGCAAAAUAUUUUCAAAUCCUUAGUAAAACAGAAGGGAAUAUUUUGACAAUCGCUGGACGCGAUACAUUAAUUGUUGGCUCUGGACGUGCCAUCAUCACACUUCCUAUGGGUACACAUGUAAUAUUCGAGAACACUUUAUUGUAUCCCGAUUCAACACGUACUCUAAUAAGCUAUAGGGAUAUCCGUCAAAAUGGGAUUCAUAUUGAAACCCACGAUGACAACAAUGAGUAAUUUCUCCUAUUUACAAAAAGUAACGCAUAUGUCAAUCAAAUUCUUGGAAAAAUUCCUUCUUUAUCGUCCGGAUUGUACUAUACAUACAUAAAACAUGUAGCCCAUGUUGCGUAUAAAAUAACUUUUCAGAAUGUCAAUACAUUCCAGACUUGGCAUGAUCGCCUUGGUCACCCCGGUAUUGGGAUGAUACGAAAAAUUAUUAAUAAUUCUGUUGGUCAUAAUCUUAAUAAAGCAAAAUUCCCAAAAUCUCAAGAUUUUGUGUGCACAGUAUGUGCACAAGGCAAGCUCAUUUUAAGACCUUCUUAUCUUAAAAUACAAGCGGAACCACUCCAAUUCCUUGAUCGAAUUGAAGGAGAUAUUUUUGGUCUAUCCAACCAUUGUCUGGACCAUUUAGGUAUUUUUAGGUCUUAAUUGACGCAUCUACAAGAUGGUCUAAUAUGUGUCUACUUUCCACACGUAACCAUGCAUUCGCAAAGAUAAUGAGCCAAGCAAUUAAACUAAAAGCUCAUUAUCCAGAACAUCGAAUUAAAACAAUUCGAAUGGACAAUGCCGCUGAAUUCUCCUCACGCGCCUUCGAUGAUUAUUGCAUGGCAUUAGGAAUCGAAGUUCAGCACUCAGUCCCAUAUGUCCACACACAAAAUGGUUUGGCUGAAUCUUUUAUUAAGAGAAUUAAGUUUAUUGUAAGAUCUUUAUUACAUAAUUGUAAUUUACCAACAACUUGUUGGGGUCAUGCGGUUAUACAUGCCGCUGAUUUAAUUCAAUUGCGACCAAGUGCAGAUCAUACUAUUUCUCCCCUUCAAUUAGUACAUGGGAAUCCACCAAGUAUUUCCCAUAUGCGAAAAUUCGGUUGUGAUACAUACGUACCGAUCUCACCACCACAACGUACAUCAAUGGGGCCACAUAGAAAAUUGGGGAUCUAUGUGGGGUACAAAUCACCGUCAAUUAUCGAGUACCCAGAACCUCUCACAAGGGAUCUAUUCACUGCCCGGUACGCUGAUUGUAUUUUUAAUGAGGAUCAUUUCCCAGCAUUAGAGGGAGAAUUAAAGUACCAAAAAAAGAAUGCUAGGAAAUCAACUGAAAUGUCCAAGGCAUUUCCGCCUCAGAUCCAUGUACUCAAGAAACUGAACAACAGGUUUAGAAAAUUAUAAAUUUGCAACAUAUUGCAAACAAUUUACCAGACGCAUUUGUUGAUUACAAAGGUGUCACUAAAUCCUAUAAUCCUGCAAAGUACGUACCCGAAAGAGUGGAAGUACCUAUAAAAACUACUCAACCUCCUGCACCUACCAUUCAAAGGAAGAGGGGGAGAGGUACGACAACUAAAAAGGAUCUAGCUUCCAGCAAGCAACAAAAGGAAGACAAACGAAGGAGCCGCGGCAAAGAAAACAGAAGAAUAACCUUCUGAACCUCCUUCUACAACAACAAAUGUGAGUCAAUAUUUGAUUGACCGAGAUCAAUUGGGUAAUAUACACCUAGUGAAUAACCAACAUCCACAACUCAGCUCAAUAGUGCACUCAAUUACUGAUGCUGGGAUAUCGGAAAACCUGGACUUAACCGCAAUGGGAAAUCGCGAACAGUCAUCAAAGGUAAACGAAAUUUUCACAAAUUACUUAGACACUGGAGAAAUAUACAAUAGAAAGACUACGUUUGUCGACACUUAUUUCUCUACUAAGAUUAUAAAAAACCUUCUAAAUGAUCAUGAUCCAAAGAUCAUAGCCGCGCGCGUCAUGGUGCACUACGAGCCACCGCAAGGCACAACGGCGCAUGAAGCGUGGAGUGUAGAGCUGGACGCGCUCCUCGCACUCGCCGCCCAGCAGCCGCAAGGCGAGGGCGCCCCGGCCGGUUCAGGUCGGGGGUAGAACCCGGGACGCGGAGAUGCGCCCCGCGUCUCAAGGCAUGGAGAGCACCCUCCCCCGCAGAGAGGGCAAGGAGGCGAGGAUCCCGAGGGGUCCUCGGAUUCGUCCACCGACUGUUACACGGGGUGACGCGCGGGAUAUCCUGAACGCCCGCCAGCAAGAAAACCUCCGCCAGCGCUUGGAGCGCCGGUGCCGGCGUGAGGCAGAACGCCAACGCCCAGAAGAGUAGGAGGAUGCUCCCAUGGGCGCCGAGGAUGACUGCGCCGCAUUUACUCACGAGCUGCGCCAGGUGACAUGGCCCCGCAAGUUCUGAGCACCGACGCUUGGGACGUACGACGGGACUGUGAACCCCAAGAAUUUUCUCCUGACCUACACGUUGGGGAUGCACGCCAUCAACGCCGAUGACAAGAUCAUGGCCAACUGGUUCCCGAUGGUCCUUAAGGGAUCAGCGAGGACCUGGUUGCUCAACCUGCCCGCCGGGUCCAUAGCCUCUUGGGCUGACCUGCGCGAGCAGUUUGUGAACGCGUUCCAUGGCGGAGCUGCACGCGGUCGUGCAGAAACCGGGUGAGACGUUGCGGAGCUUCAUGAACCGCUUCUCCAGUCUCUCCUACUCCAUCGCUGAGGCGGAGGCUGCCGCCAUCAUCAACACCUUCGCCAUCAACGUCCGUGACCCCAAGAUGCGUGACAAGCUGAGCACGCACCGGAUCCGGACGACGCAUGAGCUCUACGCCUUGGCGCACAAGUGCGCCAUGGCCGAGGAAGGGCGCUUGGCGCCCGAACUUGCAGCUAAGGCUGCCGCGAGUCCCGCUGAGGGCUCGCAGAAGAAGGGCUCCCGGAAGCGCAGCGGGAAGCAAGUGCUUGCCGGGGAACCGGGGGCUGCCUCGAGGCCUGCUAAAAAGGCCUCAUCCGCUGGCGGGUCUGGUGGCAAACCGGGCGAUGCGCCCCGCUGCCCCAUCCACGCCAAUGCCACCCAUGACGCGCAGGAUUGCCGCAUCCUGCAAGGUAUCAAGCAGAGGCACGAGCAGCGCCGGGCAGCCGACGCCUACUUCAACUGUGGGGACAUGGGGCAUCUCUCUCGCGAUUGCCCAAAUGACCCCAGAGCUGGAGCGAAGCCUGCCGGCGGAGAUGCCAGCAGAGAAGAAGCCCAGGGGGGUCGCAGCCAAGCCCGUGCCGGCAGGGACCGGCCUCCCCGGGGACGAGACAAGGCUCACGCUGAUGAGCAGCGCGGGUCCGAUUAUAGCGAGGGUGACGAGCCCGGCUUCCAGGAGCCCCGUGGCGUCACCUGCAUCCAUGGGGGAGCUUACGCUCUCCCAUCCUAUAGCGCGGUUAAGUGCCUCACCCGGGAGGUGUGUGUGCUGUUGCCGGACAUGGAGACGCAUCAGCCGUUGAAGUGGUCGCACGUGCCGAUCGCCUUCAACUCUGACGAUCACCCAGCCCGGCAACUGGGGUCAGGGGUUCUGCCCUUCGUGGUCUCACCAAUCAUCAACAACAUGACGGUGACCAAGGUGCUGGUGGACAACGGAGCGGGGUUAAACCACCUGUCCGCCAGGUUGGUGGAGAAGCUUCAGCUGCCGCUGGAGCAGAUGAAGUCCACCGACCCAUUCCGGGGGGUGAACCCCGGGAUUGUGCGCCCGCUGGGGCGCAUCACGCUGCCGGUUACCUUCGGGUCCCGGAAAGCAUUUAGAACUGAGCACCUCGUAUUUGACGUGGCUCACACCCCAUUGCCGUACAACGGAAUCCUUGGUCGGCCAUCGUUGAUCAAGUUCAUGGCGGCAACCCAUUGCGCUUAUGGCGUGAUGAAGAUGCCGUCCACAUACGGGUUCCUCUCCAUCAAGUGUGAUCUCAAGGACGUGGCUUGGUGUGUUGGCGAGGUCGUCAAGGCCGCCGUCGAUUCCGGUGAUGAGGGCGUCGCCGGAAGCGAAGGCUCACUGCCGGGCGAUCACCCCGCAGCGAAGAAGGCUCGUGUUACCCCGCAACCACUAGCUGGGGGAAGCACAAGUUCGAGCUCAUGCCCCGGGAAGGGCAAGAAGCUCAAGGGGGAGGCCGCCAAGGUGAAGAAGCUGCCCCUCCAAGCCGGCAACGAGGAGCGCACCGUCACCAUCGGUGCGAACCUCAAUGCCAAAUAGGAAAGCGCCCUCAUCACUUUCCUCCGGAAGAACUCCGACGUGUUCGCCUCGGAACCAUCGGAUCUUCCCGGAGUCCCUAGGAAGGUGAUCGAGCAUCGACUGGCGGUGCGUCCAGACGCCCGCCCCGUGAAGCAGAAGGUCCGCCGGCAAGCACAGGAGCGCAAAGACUUCAUCAAGCAAGAAGUUGACAAGCUAAAGGCCGCGGGGGCUAUCAAGAAAGUACUGUACGCCACUUGGUUAGCAAACCCAGUUGUAGUACCCAAGGGGGAAAAUAAACUGCGCAUGUGUGUAGACUUUACCGAUUUAGAUCGUGCAUGUCCUAAAGACCCUUUCCCUUUACCCCGCAUUGAUCAAAUAGUAGAUCCCACUGCCGGUUGUGAUUUGUUGUGUUUUUUGGAUGCUUUUUCCGGCUACCAUCAAAUUAAUAUGGCAGUCGAGGACGAGGAGAAAACGGCGUUCAUCACACCGGUUGGCUGCUACUGUUACACGUGCAUGACUUUUGGGUUGAAGAACGCGGGCUCAACAUUCCAGCGUGCCUUAUGCGAAUGCUUAGGACGCCAGCUAGGCCGAAACGUUGAGGCCUACAUUGAUGAUAUCAUCAUCAAGUCAAAGCGCAGGGACUCGCUUAGUGAUGACCCGCGGGAGACAUUUGAUAACCUCCGCAGGAUCAAGCUCAAGUUGAACUCUGAGAAGUGCACCUUUGGUGUAGAGUCGGGGCAGCUUUUGGGUUUCUUGGUUUCACACAGGAGGAUUCAAGCCAACCCAAAUAAGAUAGAAGCUAUCAAGAGAAUGGAGGCUCCCCGCUAGGUGAAGGACGUCCAGCGCCUCAACGUCUGCGUUGCCGUGCUGGGGCACUUCAUUUCAAGGCUGGGCGAACGCGUCCUGACUUUCUUCAAGGUAAUGAAGAAGAAGGGCCCAAUCAAUUGUACCCCCGAGGCUGAGGUGCCGUUCCAGGACCUGAAGCGGUACCUCAAGUCGCCGCCUAUCCUCGUCGCCCCCAACCCGGGCGAGCCGCUGCUGCUCUACCUAGCGGCGACUUACCAAGUGGUCAGCUCGGUGCUUGUCGCCGAGAGAGAAGAAGAUCUCCCGGGGGCUGGGGUUGCGGGGCAGGGGGCUGAGCCAGUCCUGGCAACCGCCUCGGACCCGGGAACCGCCACUGAGCCGGCGGCGUCGAUACCCCGCAAGCGGCUCACGCAGCACCCGGUGUACUUCGUCAGCACGGUGUUGCGCGAUGCCCGCGUGCGGUACCCGCAAGUGCAGAAGCUCUUGCUGCGGAUUCUGCUUGCAUCCCGCAAGCUGCGCCACUACUUCCAGGCACACCGCGUCACGGUGGUGUCAGGGUUCUGCCUCGAGCGGCCCCUCACCAACUGUGAAGCCAUCGGGAGGGUGGCCGAGUGGAGGAUGGAGCUGUCGGAGUUUGAUCCGCACUUCACGGAUACCAAGAGUAUCAAGAGUGCCGCUCUGGCUGAUUUCGUUGCAGAGUGGACCUCGACGAGUAUAGAAGAAGAGGAGCCGGAGACCAGCCUGCCCGGCAGGCUGAACGAAGGCCACUGGGUCAUGUACUUCGACGGCGUGUUCAGCCUGCAGGGGGCUGGCGCCGGAGUCGUCAUCGAGUCGCCCACGGUAGACCAGUUGAAGUUCGCCAUCCAACUCAACUUCCCCAACUCCACCAACAACACAGCUGAGUAUGAGGGGUUGCUCGCAGGGUUGCGGGUGGCGAUCGCCCUCGAUAUUAAGCACCUGGUUGUCCGCGGGGAUUCGCAGCUCGUGAUCAACCAGGUUAACAAGAACUACGAGUGCCCGCAGAUGGCAGCGUACGUGGAUGAAGUCCGCAAGCUAGAACACAAGUUCAAGGGUUUGCGAUUCGAGCACAUCAAGCGCAAGGAUAACUUCGCGGCUGAUGAACUGUCCAAGUGGGCAGCAGAGCGUCGGAAGGUCCCGACGGGAGUGUUCUGGCACAGGCAGACUGCGCCUUCAGUCACUCCCAAGCUGGCUGCAAGGGAAGCCCCCCCGGCAACCGACGGAAACCCGGCAACAGCGGAGGUCCAUGCGGCCGAUGUGGCGGCAUGCACGAGCAGGGAAACCCCGCCUUGGGCGGUGGACAUCGCCCGCUACCUCAAGGGGGAAGCCCUCCCGGAAGACGACGUUACCGCAGAGCGCGUAGCCCGGCAAGCCAAGAUGUACGCUCUGGUAGACGGGAAUCUCUACCGGAGGUGUGCAAACGGAGUAAAACUCCUUUGCGUGCCCCAAGACGAAGGGCGCGCACUCCUGGAAGAUAUACACCGAGGCACAUGCUCGCACCAUGUGGCCCCCCGGGCUUUUCGGCACGGCUUCUACUGGCCUACAGCACUAGCCGAUGCCGAGUAACUGGUCAAGACAUGCGAGGCGUGCCAAUUCCAUGCGAAGAAGAGUAAUCAACCGGCCCAAGCCCUGCAAGUCAUUCCAUCCUCCUGGCCGUUCACGGUCUGGGAGCUGGACACCGUCGGCAAGCUGCCGAGAGCGGUUGGCGGCUACAAUUAUUUGCUCGUGGCCAUCGACAAGUUCUCCAAGUGGGUGGAGGUGGAACCAGUGCGGAAGGUGAUCGCUCAGGCGGCCAUGAAGUUCCUCAAGGGCAUUGUGUGUCGGUUUGGUGUGCCUAACGGCAUCAUGACCGAUAAUGGCACACAAUUUACGAGCGCCGUGUUCCAAGCUUACUGCGAGGGCAUGGGCACCAAAAUCCACUUCGCCUCGGUUGCUCACCUGAGGAGCAACGGACAGGCGGAGAGAGCCAACGCAGAGGUGCUGCGGGGGCUCAAGACAAGAACCUUUGACAAGCUCAAUGGCCACGAGAAGCACUGGAUUGAAGAACUCCAGCCCGUGCUGUGGUCGAUCAGGACCACACCUAGCCGGGCAACGGGUGAAACUUCUUUCACCCUUAUCUACGGGGCAGAAGCGGUGCUGCCCCUCGAGCUCAAGCAUGGAUCCCCUCGGGUACGCGCGUACGGCGAGCAGAGCCAACACGAGUAGAGGGUUGACGAUCUUAACUUCAUCGAAGAACUUCGCCGUUAUCAUGACAGGCGAGUCCGUACCCGGGAGCUCGAGGUCGGAGACCUUGUCCUGCGCUGGAUACAAGGAACGAAGGCCGGGAACAAGCUGGCUCCGAAAUGGGAGGGCCCCUUCCGGGUAGUGCAGGUGACCAGACCGGGGGCUGUCCGGCUGGAAACCGAAGAAGGCUUGCCGGUGCAAAAUAGUUGGAAUCUUGAGCACUUGCGCAAGUUCUACCCGUGAAGCGGUGGAGCCUGUCCCACGUGUGAUGCUACUGCAGCAUGCCUCUCGAACUAGUUUCUAUGACUAAAGAUAAGUAAUGUCCCCUGAAUUUAAAGUUGUCUCGUUAUGGCAUGUUUUUUCUUCUGUCUCCUGCUCUAGGUGCACAGAAGUCUCUUUCCAUCCUUGGCUGUGAGCAGGGAGCUGCCGGAGCCUCGAAAACAAAAAUCCCGUUGCCGGAUCACUCCGGCACAGGGUUGUGACGUUGCCGGGUUCCCCGCAACGCGCGCCAUGCAGCAGCUGCGUCCUAGGAGUAUCGACCCUUCUGUGCCCGGGGGCUGGGAGGCCGGAGGGUAAUUCGUGUUGCGCCUUUUUUCGUGUAUUUCGAAUUUUUUUUGCAGCAUCUCGGGCUUGGUAAGAAUUUGACAUGCAGGGUAAGGAUAGGGAUCAGACACACGGUGAUACUCGUGGAGUACUCACGGGCCGUGUCAUCUAGCGGGCCGUCACUGGUGCGUGGCGACCACUUCGAGGCUCUUAACACAGGAGGCUGUCGCCAUGGGUGCCGCGGUAGCUCGGCGCGCGUGGCAGCGGGAUUCCCACCGUGCCUAUAAAAGGGCAUGGUGGCCACGGAGCAACUCAGAGCAAAGCUAAAAAAAUGGCGAGUGGUGCGGUAGAGAAGCGGUGGUGGUGCAUUUCUCCGCGCACAAGCGCCGAGGAUGUUCCCGCCAUCGCGUCCCUGCCACAUCACUCCACCAAGCGUCUCCAAGGUGGGGGUUGCCGCAGAGACGCGAUGGCGGUGCAUGCCAUCAGUGCCCAGCGCCGAUGGGUGCAGUGCCAUCUCAGCCUUGCCGCAUCCCCUCGGCAAGCGGAUCCAAGGCGAGGGUUGCCGCAGAGACGCUAGCGCGGUGCAUUCCAUCAGUGCUCAGCGCCGAUGGGUGCACUGCCACAGUGCCCUUGCCGCACCCCUCCAGUAGGCGUUCCAAGUACAGAACCGACAUGUUCAGCAAGAGAACAGACAGCUAAGUGCUUUAUCCUAGGUGCCUACUCUUCUAGUCUCAACGCUGCCUCGUUGGUGUGGGUCGUGUCGGCUGGAGUGUUAGAAGGAUGCUUGCGGGGGGAGUGCGCUCCUCAUGCGGCUUAUGGGUCCGUCCCAUAGGCGCGUGCUUGGGAGUAGCUAACCCGCAAGUGGAGCGGCUCGCCGCUGCUGCUUGACCUUAGGUUGGCACUGCGGGUCCGUCUCGGGUCCCUGGUCUGGUUAAGUGAGUAACGUGCGAGUCCCCGGCAACACAAAGCAUAACACACGAGGACGGGAAGACCCACCCCGCGAGUCAAUUUCAGGAGCAAAUACCAAGUAGAACCAGAAAGCGGAAUUUGUAAAAGUAGCAAACGAUUACAUGGGCUAAUGAAACCAUAAUUGUUUAACGGCGCCAAGUGCCAGUUGCAGGAAAUGAAAAUAAAACAAAAGAUAGCAGGAAACUAUGACGACUUGCUGCCGGGGUCUUCCGCUGGGGGCUCCGGCUUCCGCUGCAUCCGCUCCACCACCUCGUCGACGAACCUGCCCACCGCCUUGGUGUGGGAGGGACCGUCCUCGCUGUUCGACCACGCGUCCAGCAACGCCUCAAAGGGGAAGUCGGGGUGGUAGUAGUGCACCCGGGGGAGGAUCGUCUCGGCGAUCUCUCUGGCGCACGACGCUAUCUCCCCGUCGCAGAACUUGGAGAUCCACACGUCCAGCGCCACGAGCUUUCCCACCAUGUUAGAGAAGAAUGGGAUCAGGCUGCAGCGCGCGAACAGCCUGGGCGAUCUCAUGCAGCUUCUCAGUCUCCCUCCGCCGCUGCUCCGCCAACUUGUCGUGGUUGGUGCGUGACAACGCCUCCGCAAGCGUGGCCUUGCGGAGGAGUUCCGUGAGCUGCACGAUCUCCUUGGCCUUGCACACAUUGUCCUCGCCAGUCUUGACGAGCUCGCCCUGGGCAGUGGACAGCUCGGACUCGAGAUGGGCGCUCUUCUCCUUGGCGAAAUUGAUCUCCCCCACGAGUUCGCACUCCCGGGUUGGGAACUGCUCCCGCCGCUCCUUCUCCCGCCGCGUCCUCUGCAGCCUUGGCCUGGUCCUCCAGCUUCGCGCGCAACUCUUGGAGUUGGGAGGAGUAGCCACUGACCAGCUCGCUCUUCUCGUUGAGGUUAGCUUGAGCUGUAGCCAGCACGUCUUCGUGCUCCUUGUCGGCCUUCUCCCGCACCGCGGCCAGCGAGUCCAGUACCUGCUGGUGCUCGGCGCGUUGGGCCUCCAGCUGCCGGAGGAGCUUCGCCUCGAGGACAACUGGCAUGGUGGCCUCGUCCCUGGCCUGCCAGGCCUGCCGGGUCUCCUCCCUUAGCCAGGAGAGCUCCUGCCUCUCCCUCUCGACAUCCAGCCGCACCUCACCCAGUUGGAGCUUCGCGAGCUCGUGGUGCUCCCUCACCUUCUUGAACGAGGUGACGAACGACAGUUGCUGCUUCUUGAUGGCGUCGAGGAAUUGGUGCCCCUGAUCGUAGAUGCUUGGGUCCCAAGUCGCCCCGGCAAGAAUGUCGAGGUCUGGCCUGGAGUUAGCGACGGACGACGACGAGACCCCCGCCGCCAUGGUUUGGGCAGGGGGAGCAUCGUCCCCUUGCGGGGGAGGGGGGGGCGCUGCCAGCUGCUCCUCAGACACGUCCUCUUCCACACCCGCGCCCGUGGGUUGCGGGUCCGGUGGAGGGGCCACGCUCCCGACAGGAGUCGUCUCCUGCAGGGCGGCCGCAGGACUCGCGCCCCCGACCUGCAAGGCCGGGGACGCGCCACUGAGCCCUGCUCCGAUAGCGGUGGCGGGCGCCACCACCGUCACGUCUGGGCCGACGGGGCUUGGUGCGGGAGCCACCUCCGGCUAGUCACUCCCCUCUGCGUCCUCAACGUCAGAGGUGAGGUCGAUCACCGUAUCGUCUGCCCCAGUGGAGGGCGCAUCGGGACCUGCGACAAGGGCAGAGUAAGUACCUCAAGCUAAGAUGGGGUACCCGGCAACGAGCGCAAGGGAGUCCUGGAUGUGUACCUUGUAGGGUCGCCGCGCUUGCGGGGGGAGGCUUGUACCCCCUGUCCCGGCUUCUGCUGCCGGGCUGUCCCCGCAGGCUGAGUUUCGCCUACAAGCCAAGGCAAACAUGCGGUUAGGGGUCGAUGUGCUGAAGGAGCAUGUACAGUGGAGUCAGGGGAGGGGUCUGUACCUGCUGCGGGCUCCUCCUCCUCUGGGACCGGGUUGGCGACAGGCGUAGUGGCGGUGCCGCUGGUCCUCGUGCCGGUCUGACUGGCAGUGGCACUGGCCCGGGUGCGCGGUUUCUUACGGGGCGCGGCUGGUGCAGUGUUGGUUCUCCCCCUCUUGCCGGCUCCCGCCGGAGCGUUGUCCCUGCAAGGCAUCAACGAAGAAACAAAGGAAUCAAGGCAAGCACAAACUCGUAAAGAGAAGUGGGGAGAAAGCGUCAGCUUACCUUGGGGGUUUGAGCCUGAGCGAGUAACCCGUGAAGAUUCCCCGCUUGGGCGGGGCCACGGACCCUAGUGGAGUUGCCGCGGCAGCCGCCGAGGCGCCCGCAGCCGUUGCAGAGGUAGUUGCUGCAGCCGACGCUCUGGGUCGCCGCACCAGCGGCACGUUGUCCUCGUCCUCCACCUCCGCCUCGAGGAGGACUGUCCUGGCCCCGACAAAGCCGCCCGCCUCGUCGCCGGGCCCGCUGGAAUCCGAUCCCCCCUCGCUCUCCUCGGCACUUGCUUCCCACGGACUGCGGGUGGCGGAGGUUUCGGGGCUGGGACCGGGGGAUCAGACAUCAGCCCCCACUCGUUUGUAACAGCCCGAGAGCAACCUUUUUCCUUUUAAGCCCUUUUGGACUGUUUUGUAAUUUAAUUGUUGUCAUCAUGUUGUCGUGCUCAUGUCAUCAUAAUUAUUUUGCCAUGUCAUUAGCAUCAUCUCAUAUUUCGUUUGCACGAAAUGUCACUUCUGUUGUGUUGUCGUGUGUUUGCCUUUUCGCGUGUUCGCGAAAGCCUAAAAAUUAUUUUUAUACAAAACCUAAUUUGGUUUGAAAAAAUAAAUCCGGGUUAAUUAGACCACUUGGCUCUUGUCUUGUUUGUUGCGAGAAUCUAAAUUUGCAAAACGUGUAUUUUUUGUUUGAGACUUUUGUUUGCCCAAAAUCCCACCUAGCAAACCCUAACCCUAACUUUUCUCCUUUUCCCUUUCCUCUUUUUCUUUCUCCUCUUUUCAUUUCUGGCCGCCGCCACCCUGCUUCCUCCCUCUCUGUUCUUCUUCUUCCUCCCGAAGCUUCCUCCCAGUCACCUCCCUUCUUCUUCCAUGGCAGGCGCCCCCCGAGCUCCUCUGCGCCCCGCGCCGCCUGGCCGCGGCAUCCCCGCGCGCGCCUCCCCGUCGCCCGCGUCCGCCCUUGAGCUUCCUUUCCCCGGCCGUCCCUCUCCCUCGGGCUCCCUCUUCCCCGCGCGCCGCCCCUACCCGUCGCGCGCGUCCACCUCGCCGCCGCCUGCUGCCCCUGGCCGGCGCCGCUUCUCCCCGUCGCCCCCUCUCCUGCUGCCCCUGGCCGGCGCCGCUUCUCCCCGUCGCCCCCUCUCCUGCUGCCCCUGGUCGGCGCCCGUCCUCGCUCCCCACGCACGCCCCUGUCGCCGAGCUCGCCUACCCGCACAGCUCUGCCCCUUCGCAGCCGAGCGCCCUUGGCUGCUGCUCGCUCGCCCGCGAGCCCCACGCGCGCCCUCCUCCCUCUUCCGUGGCCGCCUCGCCCCGCCGUCGACCACCAUCACCUCGCCGCGCGCCCCUCCUCUCUUCUCUCCCCGCGCCUGCCGCCUCCCGCGCGAGCUCACCGCCGGCAGCGCAUCUCCUCUGCCGCCUGCCGCGAAGCGCCUCCAAGCUCCUUGCUCCGCCCCGAUGCCGUCGCCCUCGCUCCAGCCUCCUCUGCCUCCAGCACGCUGCUGCCGCCCGGCGUGCUGGCCUAGCCCAGCCCGGACCAGGCCCGAGCAAGCCCGGCUCGCCCAAGCCCAAGCCAGAUCCAAGCCCAGGCCGGUGCCCUCUUUUCCUUUUUCUUCUUUUCCUAAAAUUGUUAAACCUUGACGUGUGGGCCCUGCUUGUCAGUCUGUGUGCUGCUGUUUGUUGCCGCUGCUCCGCGUCGAGCCGCCAUGCUGCUGCACUUCGUCGACGCCCGCGAAGACCACAUCGCUUUAGAGAUGAAGCCGCGCGACUACAUCGCCUACGUGAACGACUACCUUGCCGUGAACGACUAUGUUGCCUACGUGAACAACUACUUGGACUACGCCGACCACGUGUACGACUACCUCGCCCGUACGACUACUUCCUCUACGUCGACUACUUCGUCUACCACGCGACGCCGCAACGAGUCCAAGGUAUAACGAGCAACCGUCCCGUGAAUCAACCGUUCUUCGGCGUAGACCCUUAGGUUGCGAUUGUCGAUAUGGCAUGUGUUGUAUGAGAUGUCGUGUAUGUACCGAUAAUAUCGAUAGAUGCAGGUACCUUGUUUCCAUUAGUGUGUGCAACCCCGACCUAGUCGGAUCAUUGUGUUGUUCUUGUCUUAAAGCAUGCAUCGCACCUAUUCAUGUCAUUGUCAUGCAUGCUAAUACAACUAUCACAUUGUUGUGUGUAGUUAAUCAAUUAAACUCUAUUCCUUGCAUAUGAAGUUGUUUAGAUGCUAUGUGUAUUAUUUUCGGACUCCAUUUAACUUGGUAAAUUGUAAAUCGGAUUUACUAUCGGAAUACUUAAUAUGUCAUGCAUCAUCCUUAUGUCACGCAUCAUCCCUUGAUUGCGCAUAUUAAUUACCAUGUGUAUCGUGUAUGCUUAUACUUUUCUUUUAUGUCGUGUAUUUGCUUCUUCCUCGCUAGUCUUCGAUUCCUACGACGAUGACGACUAUGCUUGUGUUCUUCUUCCAGGGUUCUUGCUCAAUUCCGGGCAAUUGAGUACUCCAGGCAAGCAGCCCUUCCUUGACCAUGUUGACUAUACCCAAUGCCUCUCUUUCAUUCUUGCACUAAGUUACGUUCUCAGUCUGGUCACGAUGCCUCUAGGAUUGCAUAGCUUUUAGUCAGCUCUACUCAAAUACCUUUGUCUUGUUACUUGUCCUAUUACCAUGUCACAUGUUUGUUGUUGCCCUACCUCUUGGUCAUUAGAUGUCAUGCUUAGUCGCGAGUCUGGUGUCCUUUUAUCUGGGGUCCCACAAUUGCUACAUCCACAUGCUACUCCCUAUAUUUAAAUUGCAAUUAUUAAACUGUGACCUGUUAUUACCUGCCCAAGGCAACGAUGGGAGGCCGUGCUAAUGCAUUGGUGUUUUGUUCCGUUGGCGCCGACCUAAGUACCGAGUUCUCGUUUUCGCCGACCCAAGAAACUUCGCGCUAACCGCUCGUGAGAGAAUAUAUGGGUUCUACCUCGGCUUAGUACUCGUUUCAUAACUCUUCCAGGGGCCACAUAGUUCGGGCGUUCCAUUUGGCAUAUCGCAUAUACACUGGUGUUGUGUUUGAAGACUUGUUGGUGACUUUGCAUACAUAUAGGACUGCGGCACACGUCUGGAGUGGUCAUUCUGCGGACAUUGAACCACUACCAGCUGUUCCCGCAACUCUUGAGUCUGUAUGACGCUUCGGCCGGGUUCUCGUUUCGGAUUAGACUCAGUUGGGUGGUUCCCUGAAUUAGUUGUGGGGCUUGGAAACGUCGUGUCGCUCAAUCCUGCCGGCACCUAUUUUGCGUGUGUUCCAUGCUAGUGGCAUCAAGGGUUGGACGAACGUGUACGGGUAAAUUGGUACACACUGCAGGGAUAAAUCUUUCGGAAAGCCAUGUCCGCGGUCAUGGACGACUUGGUUGGUCAUUACUUGAUCAUAGAGAACUCAAUCAAUUUAAUCAACUUAAUCUCAUAAACUUGAGUACUAAUUAGCCUUAAUCAUGGAUAUGCUUAAAACUGCUUAAGUGUGAGUGUCCUUUGGAUUGCUUCCUCACAGGGUGUUGAGGGGUGAUAUGAGGAUUGUGUUGUUUGGUGUUUAGUAAAUAGGUUAAUCGCCUCACCUUGUAUACGCUUCUCAUCCUCUCAUUAGACGUUGUUAUUAGAGUGUCUCUCCAGAUAUUGUUGCUGCUGCAUAACCCCACCAUAUUAUCCAUCCUUUGAGACUUGUUGCAUACUAGCAUAGAUCUCCCCGUAAGUCUUGCGAGUACUUUGUACUCAGUUGCUUUGCAACGUUGUUUUCUUCAGAGCUUCCAGCAGAGCAGGUGAGCCGCUAGAUUCUUCGUGGAGCACGACGUUGGAUUCGAUGUUUGGCCAGGAGAUCCAGAUCAGGGUUCUAAGACUCGUGGCGGGUUUCUUUCCAGCUUCCAGCCUCUUCAGGCCAUGUUGUAUUCUUGUCCGUACUCGGGCAUAAUUCGACUUCCGCUGAUGUAAUGAUGUAAUGUUGGGACAUGUGUCCUCUCUUCGUAAUAAUGGUUAUUCUGCUCCUUGUAUGAGCUUUGUAAUUACUCUUUUCUGUAGAGUUUUGGUAAUGAUAUUCAUGUUGAAAAAUCCUGCGGUGAGCACAUUAAUGCAUGUAUGUAUUGAAGUGUUUAUCGUAGGUUAAGAACCUGAGGCUUAAAUUAUGCAAGGUUAGCAAUUUGGGCCUAAAUUGUAUAGUUCCGGUCCCGGGGUCUUACAUCGUUGCAGGGUGGGUAGCUGCCGAUGAUGUCGUGGAGGCCCGCGACGCCGACGUGAAGGGAUGGAGCCCCCGGGGGCAGCUCCGUGAAUGGGACGUCCUUGCCAGUUAUUCCCUUCACCCACUCCUGGAUCACCUCCGGCGUCACACCCACGCUUUGCAGGCGCGUGGUGUCGCCGGGCCCCGUGUACAUCCACGCGGGGUGGGACCGCAGCUGCAGCAGCGCGAUGCGCCGGCUGAUGUAGGUGCGCGCCACGUCCAGAUCGGUGAGCCCCGCUAGCCGCAUGGCCAUGAUCUUCUUGAUGAUGGGAAGGAGUUCCGCGUCUCGGCUGUAGCGGUCCCGCCAGCUGCCGUUACUCGCCGGCAGCUCGGUGGCGCAUGAACGGCAGCUCGGUGGCGCAUGAAUGAACUCGUCAGGCUCAUCUACGCGAACCCAACACCAGCUCCCGCGCCACUCCUUCUCGAUCUUCUUCUCACUCCGCACGAUGAACUCCGACUUCAUCUUGUCACGGGCGCGGAACGAGACCCCCGACGACAUCGCUCCCGACUGCUCGAUGUGCGGGUAGAAGUAAUGGCGGAACAACGCCACCGAUGGCAUCACCCUGACAAACCCCUCACAGAGGAAUUGGAAGACAGCGAGAAGGAGAGAGAAGUGAGGUGAAGCUGCGCAACCUUAAGCUGGUAAGCCGCCAUGAGAGCAUGGACGAAGAGGGAGUACGGAGGUACGAACCCAGCGAGGAUGAAGCGGCCGAACACCCGGAAGUCGUGGUCUUGGUGGUCGGCAUCCACUGGGAAGAUGAGCGUCUCGCCGUACUCGUUGAACAAGCUGGCAACGGCGUGCCGGAUCUUGUCGACCCCCUCGCCGUUGUAGCCGGGCUUGAAGAAGGCCCGCGUGGCCCUCAUCUCCCGGUUCUUCUAGUCCUUCUCCGACAAGGGCUUCUUGAGGGCUUUCUCGCCCUUGUCGACCGCGGAGCUCGUGGAACCCUUCCCUCUCUUGGGGGCCUUGGGCGCCAUGGAGAAUGUGGGUGGCGAUGAACAAGAUUAGGAGCGCAAGGAGGAAUGGGGAUGAGGAAGAUGAACUCGGGGCUAAGUGAUUGCCCCUCAGUGCAGUGGUGGGGUUUUAUAGCACCCCAGCGCUGAGCAACGGUUACAUCCACACCCUACGGGUGCGCUGGGGAUAACUACGUUUUAAGAGGGGAAUGCGAGACGUGGCCUUAACCACCCACGAUUAAGGGGAAGGUUAGGGCGGAAAUCUCGCCCCCACCGCUCCGCUCGUAACGGCGGAGUCCCUGGAGCGGCGCAUCGUCGGGAGCCCGAAACGACUCGGGACCCACGCGUCGGUUAGGACGUAGCCUGACAACCGACCAAGGAUGAUUUCGCCCGGGAACAGGCGUUGCCGGCCCACGCCCGAGGCCUACUGUCGCACCAGUGGCACCCGGGCUACCACCGUUGCUCAAGGGUGGGUCGCCUCACUUGCUUCCCGCAAGGACGGCACCCUGGGCAGCACGGCGCGAGCUGCCUGGGAAGGCACCGGCCCGGCAGGAGCCUGGGGAGGGGGUUGCCGUGGACCAGGACUAGCCGUGCUGCGGGGAUUACCCCAGAAGACAGCGUGAAGACCCCCGUCAGGACGCCCCCCGGGAAGCCCACCUGCCGGGGAGAGUGUUCCCUGGCGCAAGCGUUUACAAUAGGGCCGGUGCCCAGCAAGCAGAGUAUCGACGCCACGUGGCUGCCCGGCAGGCUCCUUUUGCGCAGGGCUGGUCAGAGCGUGGAGUGUGGCACAGGCUGAGCAUUAAAUGCUCCGACAGGGAGGAGGUUACCCGUCUAGUCAACCUGCAGUGAGUAACCCGCAGUGAAUCUAGGGCACGUGUGGCCCUAGCUACAGUGCGUCUCACCGUGCAUGCAUGCCAGCACAGCGAAGGCAGCUGCCUUGGGUCCCUGUUCGACGCGUGUCCUAGGGCGCGUCCCCCAUGCAAACCGUGGCACCUGUAGUAUCCCCUUAGUAUAAAAGGAGGACCCGCGCCACCAGUCAAGGGGUUCCGAUUUCCGAAGGUUAGACUGGAGCUGAGGUUGCAAUCCCUAGAGAUCUAGUCCAGAGGUAGCAAGUAGCCAGUUAGAAAAAAGGGAAGAGAGCGCCCGGGGACUCUCCCGACAACCUUGUAAACACCUGUUCUUUAGUUAAUAAACACUCAGAAGCAGGACGUGGGGUUUUACACCUCCGGGUGGCCCGAACCUGGGUAAACCGACUUGUGCAUUGCAGCGCCCGUCAUUGGCCUCGCUGGCGAUCGCCGGAGCGAUCCCAACGCCCACUGCCGAACCUAAAAGGGGGUGCCUCGCAUCCCCGGUGUCUAAGCCCCGGGCUACGACAGAUGAAAAGUGAGACUAGUAGCACAAGGGUUCACGUAGAGACCCGACUUUGAUUUCAAUGAAACAUAUUCUCCGGUUAUGAUUGGAAUUACAUUCCGAUAUUUAAUCUCAUUGUCUGUUCAAAAUCGUCUAUCUAUGCAGUUGAUGGACGUCGCGACUGCAUAUCUUUAUGGGUCAUUAGAUUCGGAUAUUUACAUGAAGGUUCCAGAUGGCAUCCAAAUUCCGAAUACUAACACAAGACGCAACAUGUACUGUGUAAAGUUGAAUAAAUCUUUAUACAGUUUAAAACAGUCGAGUAGAAUGUGGUACAACCGACUAAGUGAGUUUCUCAUUAAAAAUGGUUACUCUAACAAUGAUGACUGCCCAUGUGUAUUCAUCAAGAAAUCGAAAACAGGAUUUUGCAUUAUCUCUGUAUAUGUUGAUGAUUUAAAUAUCAUUGGCAACAAACAGGAUAUAGAUGAAGCUCGUAAUCAUCUAAUGACGGAAUUUGAAAUGAAAGAUUUGGGUAAAACAAAAUUCCAAUUAGGUUUACAACUUGAGCACCUUUCUUCGGGAAUAUUGGUUCACCAAGCUACAUAUAUCCAGAAAAUCUUGGAGAAAUUUAACAUGGACAAAUCCUAUCCAUGCAAAACAGCUAUGCUAGUUUGAUCUUUAGACGGAGAAAGAUCCAUUCAGACCAAAAAGUGAUGGAGAGGAAAUUUUGGGACCUGAGUUCUCAUAUCUUAGUGCUAUUGGGGCAUUAAUGUAUCUAGCAAAUUGCACCCGGCCGGAUAUUACAUUUGCGGUAAAUUUACUAGCUAGACACAACGUAGCUCCAACAAAACGCCAUUGGGUAGGAGUCAAGCAAGUUUUUCGCUACCUACAAGGCACUAAAGAUCUAGGUCUAUAUUUCCAAAAGGAAAACCAAAACUCUGAUUAAUCGGAUACACUGAUGCUAGCUAUUUAUCUGAUCCCCACAAUGCCAGAUCCCAGACCGGUUUCGUGUUCCUACACGGUGGGACAGCCAUAUCGUGGAAGUAUUCUAAGCAGACUCUAGUGGCUACAUCCACAAAUCAUUCGGAAAUAAUAACUUUAUACGAAGCAUCUCGUGAAAGUGUAUGGCUACGCAGAAUGAUUAACCACAUACAACAAUCAUGUGGUAUUGGUUCAAUUUAAUCACCUACAAUUAUCUAUGAGGAUAAUUCUGCUUGUGUUGCUCAGAUGCAAACAGGUUAUAUAAAAAGCCAUAUAACUAAACAUAUUGCACCUAAACUAUUCUAUCCUCAUGAAUUACAACAAAAUGGGAAGAUAAAUAUCUUGCAAACCAAAUCAUGUGAUAACCUCGCAGAUUUGUUCACUAAGUCCUUACCCAACUCCACAUUUCAGAAAUGUGUAUAUGGGAUUGGUAUGCGACGACUUAAAAUUUUGCAAGCAUCAGGGAGAGUAUUCACCUGAGUUUAACCUGUUCAUAACAUCAUAUUGCACUCUUUUCCUAUUAUGAGUUUUACUCACUAGUUUCUCAUAAAAGGUUUUUAAUGAGACAAUAUUAACAUAAGAUUAUAUGUCAUUUUUUCUAUUUUCCCCACCAAGGUUUUUGUGGAUAAUAUACAAGGCAUAUUUAUUGUUCACAUAAUUCGAUAUGAAUUAUCAAGAAACAAUUUUCAAAAUAUGUUAUACCAUUUUCUCCUUAUUUUCCCAUUGGGUUUUUAAAGGGAGUUUUCAUAACAUAUCAAUAUUAUUAUUAUUUCCUCAAUAUUUUUCCCACGGGGUUUUUGGAGGAAAUUACAAGAUUACAAGGUUCCAUGAUGAUUCAAGAAUAUACACAUCAACGUAGCAAAUUGAUCAAGGGGGAGUGUUGAGAAUAAUUAGUUAUGAUCAAUUAGGAUUAAUUAUUAGUUAAUUAAUAGUUAAUUAGGCAGUUAACCUUCUAACCGUUCGCGUCCCAAUUUUCCCAAAACUAGAACGCGAGUGCCAAAACUUGGGACACCAAUGCAUGUAUUGGUGUCCCUUCCCCUUGUAUAUAUAUGAUCAUCAUUCAAUGGAAAAAACACACAAUCAUUCAUUCUCAAUCAUUUCAUAACACCCUUCUUGCUUGAAGGCACUCCCCUUCCGACUAAAAUUAUCAGAAGCUCUUUGCCCUUAUAAAUAAGAUUAAUUCAUCUCAAGAAUUAAAAAAUCUACUAAUUCAUCUGAAUAUUCAAAUCGACCAGAAUUAACUCCAACACGCGAGGAGGCUUUGACUGUUGAAUUAUUAAGCCACCCGGUGCAUUUUAUUUACUAGUAAUUGUGCAGCGCACAUGUUGACUUAUAUAUUUUCAUUAUUUCUGAACUUGUGUGUUUUCUCGCAACUAUUGUCAAGGCUCAUUGCUAUGGCGUUACUGCCCCCUCCGUUUCUAAAUUCUUUUCGUUGUUUUAUUGUGGUUCAAUAGUAGAUCACAGGCUCACGGCAAUCCAGAUUGCACCAAAGAGGGAUCUUUUUAUUACUUUCUCAAAACAACUUGCAACAUAAAAUCUCACUAAACAAACUUAACUUUCAAUAUCUACUUAAUAACCCAAAACUACACACAUGUGCCAUUUUCCUUCUAUGGGGGUUGUCCAGAGUUAAAAACAUAAGUCAUGUAAAUUGUCAGUAUAAUUUUCUGCCAAAUUGACAAAAAAAAAA
RNAcentral lists this long non-coding RNA (21890 nucleotides) under Brachypodium distachyon (stiff brome). RNAcentral describes it as "long non-coding RNA (BDIS_LNC006061)". The record is from RNAcentral. Lineage: Eukaryota; Viridiplantae; Streptophyta; Magnoliopsida; Poales; Poaceae.